GACGAACGCUGGCGGCGUGCUUAACACAUGCAAGUCGAACGGAAAGGCCUGCUUUCCCUUGUGGAUUGCGGGUACUCGAGUGGCGAACGGGUGAGUAACACGUGAGUGAUCUGCCCCCAACUUGGGUAUAAGCCUGGGAAACUGGGUCUAAUUCCCGAUAGGACUGCAGGGUGGUGCCUGAGGUGGAAAACGAUUUUCUAGUGGUUGGGGAUGAGCUCGCGGCCUAUCAGCUUGUUGGUGGGGUAAUGGCCUACCAAGGCGGCGACGGGUAGCCGGCCUGAGAGGGUGGACGGCCACAUUGGGACUGAGAUACGGCCCAGACUCCUACGGGAGGCAGCAGUGGGGAAUAUUGCACAAUGGGCGGAAGCCUGAUGCAGCGACGCCGCGUGGGGGAUGACGGCCUUCGGGUUGUAAACUCCUUUCGACCGCGAGGAAGCCACCUGGUUGGAAGGGUGGUGACGGUAGUGGUAGAAGAAGCACCGGCUAACUACGUG
This 494-nucleotide ribosomal RNA is filed under the name uncultured bacterium. RNAcentral's name for it is "partial 16S ribosomal RNA". It matches the Rfam family "Bacterial small subunit ribosomal RNA", at positions 28 to 507 of the family's 1533-position model. The record is from RNAcentral.